GUGAGGAAUAUUGCGCAAUGCUCGAAAGGGUGACGCAGCGACGCCGCGUGGAGGAUGAAGGCCCUAUGGGUCGUAAACUCCUUUUGAGGGGGAAGAAUAGCCCCGUAUAGCGGGGUUUGACGGUACCCCUAGAAAAAGCACCGGCCAACUACGUGCCAGCAGCCGCGGUAAUACGUAGGGUGCAAGCGUUGUCCGGAAUCACUGGGUGUAAAGGGAGCGCAGGCGGAUUGGCAAGUCCUUGGUGAAAUCCUGAGGCUCAACUUCAGGCCUGCCAAUGAUACUGCUGAUCUUGAGUGCAGAAGAGGAAGAUGGAAUUCCUGGUGUAGCGGUGAAAUGCGUAGAUAUCAGGAAGAACACCGGUGGCGAAGGCGGUCUUCUGGUCUGUAACUGACGCUCAUGCUCGAAAGCGUGGGGAGCAAACAGGAUUAGAAACCCGUGUAGUCC
This 444-nucleotide ribosomal RNA is filed under the name uncultured bacterium. RNAcentral's name for it is "bacterial SSU rRNA". It matches the Rfam family "Bacterial small subunit ribosomal RNA", at positions 354 to 796 of the family's 1533-position model. The record is from RNAcentral.